UCGAUUGUUUGCCUCUAAACC
Non-coding RNA from Caenorhabditis elegans, 21 nucleotides. The record is from Ensembl. Lineage: Eukaryota; Metazoa; Nematoda; Chromadorea; Rhabditida; Rhabditidae.